GCGGAAGUAGUUCAUGUGGUAGAACACUACUUUGCCAAAGUGGGGGGUGCGGUUUCGAGUCCAGUUUUCGCU
RNAcentral lists this transfer RNA (72 nucleotides) under Anoxybacteroides tepidamans. RNAcentral describes it as "tRNA-Gly". It matches the Rfam family "tRNA". Rfam says of the family: Transfer RNA (tRNA) molecules are approximately 80 nucleotides in length. Lineage: Bacteria; Bacillati; Bacillota; Bacilli; Caryophanales; Anoxybacillaceae. The record is from RNAcentral.